CGGAACGGGUGAGUAACGCGUGAGGAACCUGCCUCAAAGAGGGGGACAACAGUUGGAAACGACUGCUAAUACCGCAUAAGCCCACAGGUCGGCAUCGACCAGAGGGAAAAGGAGCAAUCCGCUUUGAGAUGGCCUCGCGUCCGAUUAGCUAGUUGGUGAGGUAAUAGCCCACCAAGGCGACGAUCGGUAGCCGGACUGAGAGGUUGAACGGCCACAUUGGGACUGAGACACGGCCCAG
RNAcentral lists this ribosomal RNA (238 nucleotides) under uncultured bacterium. Its description in RNAcentral is "partial 16S ribosomal RNA". It matches the Rfam family "Bacterial small subunit ribosomal RNA", at positions 100 to 334 of the family's 1533-position model. The record is from RNAcentral.